GUGGGGAAUAUUGGGCAAUGGGCGAAAGCCUGACCCAGCAACGCCGCGUGAAGGAAGAAGGUUUUCGGAUCGUAAACUUCUAUCCUUGGUGAAGAUAAUGACGGUAGCCAAGAAGGAAGCCCCGGCUAACUACGUGCCAGCAGCCGCGGUAAUACGUAGGGGGCAAGCGUUGUCCGGAAUGAUUGGGCGUAAAGGGCGCGUAGGCGGCCCGGUAAGUCUGAAGUGAAAGUCCUGCUUUUAAGGUGGGAAUUGCUUUGGAUACUGUCGGGCUUGAGUGCAGGAGAGGUAAGCGGAAUGCCCGGUGUAGCGGUGAAAUGCGUAGAGAUCGGGAGGAACACCAGUGGCGAAGGCGGCUUACUGGACUGUAACUGACGCUGAGGCGCGAAAGUGUGGGGAGCAAACAGGAUUAGAUACCCGUGUAGUCC
RNAcentral lists this ribosomal RNA (425 nucleotides) under uncultured bacterium. Its description in RNAcentral is "partial 16S ribosomal RNA". It matches the Rfam family "Bacterial small subunit ribosomal RNA", at positions 354 to 796 of the family's 1533-position model. The record is from RNAcentral.